RNAcentral lists this ribosomal RNA (211 nucleotides) under uncultured bacterium. RNAcentral's name for it is "partial 16S ribosomal RNA". It matches the Rfam family "Bacterial small subunit ribosomal RNA", at positions 1290 to 1500 of the family's 1533-position model. The record is from RNAcentral.
AGUUCGGACUGCAGGCUGCAACCCGCCUGCACGAAGCCGGAGUUGCUAGUAAUCGCGAAUCAGAAUGUCGCGGUGAAUGCGUUCCCGGGUCUUGUACACACCGCCCGUCACACCAUGGGAGUUGGGAAUGCCCGAAGCCGGUGACCUAACCGAGAGGGAGGAGCCGUCGAAGGCAGGUCUGAUGACUGGGGUGAAGUCGUAACAAGGUAGC